Long non-coding RNA from Sitodiplosis mosellana (orange wheat blossom midge), 1708 nucleotides. RefSeq lists it as uncharacterized. The transcript has 2 exons. The record is from RefSeq and is a predicted model, not a curated record. Lineage: Eukaryota; Metazoa; Arthropoda; Insecta; Diptera; Cecidomyiidae.
GGGUGGGUUUUAGUUUUAUCCGUGGAGAAUUUCUGUAAUUGAAUCCUUUGGAUUAGCUGGAUCUGACCUGGUCCAAUGUGUUCUGGAAGUUAAGUCCUCCAGUGUGCCAAAUCGCAAUAUUCAUUCCGAAUUCCGCUCGGAACAGCCUCAAAUUUGAGGUGGCAAAUCUGAAAGGAAAUAUGAACGCCGAAACAUAACGCGAAGUAUACGAGUCAGCAGCUCAGCAACUGACGUCAGUUAUUGCUGCUGAUUUCAGCUCAUAAGUAAGCUGAUUGCAGACUUCAAAAGGCUUGGCAAUUGUUUUGUUCGAUUAGUCGAUGAGUAAAUGACACCGAAACACUGUGCCAGAUGCUUCGAACAGCUUCUGAUAUGGACGAAUAGCAAACAAUACGAGAGUCAUUUAGACAUUUGAAUAAAAAAAACAGUGUUUUUUUCUUGAAGAAGUUAUGUAAUACACCCCAAUGUAUAUAGAAUGUGUGAAACACAAUUACCAGCAGAACGAUUUAAAUUCCACAUUGAUGACUUCAUCGUUAAAAUUAAACAUUAUACAUGUUCACAAUGAUGAUCACAUUGAUAAGAUAUAAUUGUUGUGUUAUGAUUUGAGGCUUAACGGGCAUUACCAAAUCGUUAAAACUGUAAACAAAUCACACUAUUUAUGAAAGAAUCACAGUUAUAUAUGUCAUCCGGUUUAACAUGUUAAUCAAUCAAUGAGUUGCAUUUGGAUACAUGACUUCAAUGGAGACAAAAGUUUACAUUUAUUGGGAAAAACGAACCAGAGAAAUUAUAUUCCAUAAAUUAUAUUGCUUGUAUUGGUGUAACAUAUGAAUUCUUUUAUACACGAAUGAAGGCGUGUUCCGUUCACCAUUUGACUUUUGAUUUCAUUUCGUUCGUUCGUUCACACACAUUUAUACAUACACAUAAACACAGUCGAUUGUAGUGUCACAGUCGCUAACACAAAUUUGCAUAUAUAUAUAUAUAUAAUAUUUUCUUCAUAUCCUUUCAACACCACAUACAAUUGAAUUAUUUUUUCAAAAGGAAUAAUCGAUACUUUGUUUAUUAAAAUAAACGGUAUUUUAAACAGAUAAGCCAGUAUUACACUUACCCAUUUUGUUUGUGACACAAAUUAUGAUUAUGUUUUUAAUGAAUACUUCUGUCUACACAAUCAAUAUCUUCAUUCCAAAUAAGGUGCAUAAAGCUAAAUGCAUGAAAUUUAAAAUAGUUUCAAUGAUUCUAUUUUUCAAAUUUUUGUUUCACACUUUUUCUUUAAUGAUCGGAAGCCCGAUGUUUCUAUUCAAUUUUUUCUUUGCAAUCGUUUCUCACUGUAAGUAGAUUUUGUUUAAUAUUUGUAUGAAUAUACAAUUUUGCAGAAAAAAAAAUCACUGGAAAUUACAAUUGUUCAUGGCCGCUAACUAAUGUUGAAAGAAAACAAAAUGAAUAUACACAGAAACUCGAAAGUUCAUAUAAUAGACUAGCAGAUGAUGUAAUAUGUAGCUAGACUAGAGUAGAGUACUAAAUAAAGUACACAGUGAGAAUAAGAAGCUGUCAGUGUAUUUAUAUGUGUGUGAGUUUAUAUGUUUUAUUUUGCGCAUGUAUUUGACAUGACAAAUACAUCGGAAUAGGCCAUCACAUCAGUUGCUUGAAAAAAUUAAUUGUUUUUUUUUUAAAUCUAUAGAUUCAUAUAUCUUUAUAAUGAAAGUUAGUUGUCAAA